Molecule: ribosomal RNA, 2779 nt
Filed under: Shigella dysenteriae
Lineage: Bacteria; Pseudomonadati; Pseudomonadota; Gammaproteobacteria; Enterobacterales; Enterobacteriaceae
Description: bacterial LSU rRNA
Rfam family: Bacterial large subunit ribosomal RNA
Source: RNAcentral
AGCGUACACGGUGGAUGCCCUGGCAGUCAGAGGCGAUGAAGGACGUGCUAAUCUGCGAUAAGCGUCGGUAAGGUGAUAUGAACCGUUAUAACCGGCGAUUUCCGAAUGGGGAAACCCAGUGUGUUUCGACACACUAUCAUUAACUGAAUCCAUAGGUUAAUGAGGCGAACCGGGGAACUGAAACAUCUAAGUACCCCGAGGAAAAGAAAUCAACCGAGAUUCCCCAGUAGCGGCGAGCGAACGGGGAGCAGCCCAGAGCCUGAAUCAGUGUGUGUGUUAGUGGAAGCGUCUGGAAAGGCGCGCGAUACAGGGUGACAGCCCCGUACACAAAAAUGCACAUGCUGUGAGCUCGAUGAGUAGGGCGGGACACGUGGUAUCCUGUCUGAAUAUGGGGGGACCAUCCUCCAAGGCUAAAUACUCCUGACUGACCGAUAGUGAACCAGUACCGUGAGGGAAAGGCGAAAAGAACCCCGGCGAGGGAGUGAAAAAGAACCUGAAACCGUGUACGUACAAGCAGUGGGAGCCUCUUUAUGGGGUGACUGCGUACCUUUUGUAUAAUGGGUCAGCGACUUAUAUUCUGUAGCAAGGUUAACCGAAUAGGGGAGCCGAAGGGAAACCGAGUCUUAACUGGGCGUUAAGUUGCAGGGUAUAGACCCGAAACCCGGUGAUCUAGCCAUGGGCAGGUUGAAGGUUGGGUAACACUAACUGGAGGACCGAACCGACUAAUGUUGAAAAAUUAGCGGAUGACUUGUGGCUGGGGUGAAAGGCCAAUCAAACCGGGAGAUAGCUGGUUCUCCCCGAAAGCUAUUUAGGUAGCGCCUCGUGAAUUCAUCUCCGGGGGUAGAGCACUGUUUCGGCAAGGGGGUCAUCCCGACUUACCAACCCGAUGCAAACUGCGAAUACCGGAGAAUGUUAUCACGGGAGACACACGGCGGGUGCUAACGUCCGUCGUGAAGAGGGAAACAACCCAGACCGCCAGCUAAGGUCCCAAAGUCAUGGUUAAGUGGGAAACGAUGUGGGAAGGCCCAGACAGCCAGGAUGUUGGCUUAGAAGCAGCCAUCAUUUAAAGAAAGCGUAAUAGCUCACUGGUCGAGUCGGCCUGCGCGGAAGAUGUAACGGGGCUAAACCAUGCACCGAAGCUGCGGCAGCGACGCUUAUGCGUUGUUGGGUAGGGGAGCGUUCUGUAAGCCUGUGAAGGUGUGCUGUGAGGCAUGCUGGAGGUAUCAGAAGUGCGAAUGCUGACAUAAGUAACGAUAAAGCGGGUGAAAAGCCCGCUCGCCGGAAGACCAAGGGUUCCUGUCCAACGUUAAUCGGGGCAGGGUGAGUCGACCCCUAAGGCGAGGCCGAAAGGCGUAGUCGAUGGGAAACAGGUUAAUAUUCCUGUACUUGGUGUUACUGCGAAGGGGGACGGAGAAGGCUAUGUUGGCCGGGCGACGGUUGUCCCGGUUUAAGCGUGUAGGCUGAUUUUCCAGGCAAAUCCGGAAAAUCAAGGCUGAGGCGUGAUGACGAGGCACUACGGUGCUGAAGCAACAAAUGCCCUGCUUCCAGGAAAAGCCUCUAAGCAUCAGGUAACAUCAAAUCGUACCCCAAACCGACACAGGUGGUCAGGUAGAGAAUACCAAGGCGCUUGAGAGAACUCGGGUGAAGGAACUAGGCAAAAUGGUGCCGUAACUUCGGGAGAAGGCACGCUGAUAUGUAGGUGAAGUCCCUCGCGGAUGGAGCUGAAAUCAGUCGAAGAUACCAGCUGGCUGCAACUGUUUAUUAAAAACACAGCACUGUGCAAACACGAAAGUGGACGUAUACGGUGUGACGCCUGCCCGGUGCCGGAAGGUUAAUUGAUGGGGUCAGCGCAAGCGAAGCUCUUGAUCGAAGCCCCGGUAAACGGCGGCCGUAACUAUAACGGUCCUAAGGUAGCGAAAUUCCUUGUCGGGUAAGUUCCGACCUGCACGAAUGGCGUAAUGAUGGCCAGGCUGUCUCCACCCGAGACUCAGUGAAAUUGAACUCGCUGUGAAGAUGCAGUGUACCCGCGGCAAGACGGAAAGACCCCGUGAACCUUUACUAUAGCUUGACACUGAACAUUGAGCCUUGAUGUGUAGGAUAGGUGGGAGGCUUAGAAGUGUGGACGCCAGUCUGCAUGGAGCCGGCCUUGAAAUACCACCCUUUAAUGUUUGAUGUUCUAACGUGGACCCGUAAUCCGGGUUGCGGACAGUGUCUGGUGGGUAGUUUGACUGGGGCGGUCUCCUCCUAAAGAGUAACGGAGGAGCACGAAGGUUGGCUAAUCCUGGUCGGACAUCAGGAGGUUAGUGCAAUGGCAUAAGCCAGCUUGACUGCGAGCGUGACGGCGCGAGCAGGUGCGAAAGCAGGUCAUAGUGAUCCGGUGGUUCUGAAUGGAAGGGCCAUCGCUCAACGGAUAAAAGGUACUCCGGGAUAACAGGCUGAUACCGCCCAAGAGUUCAUAUCGACGGCGGUGUUUGGCACCUCGAUGUCGGCUCAUCACAUCCUGGGGCUGAAGUAGGUCCCAAGGGUAUGGCUGUUCGCCAUUUAAAGUGGUACGCGAGCUGGGUUUAGAACGUCGUGAGACAGUUCGGUCCCUAUCUGCCGUGGGCGCUGGAGAACUGAGGGGGCUGCUCCUAGUACGAGAGGACCGGAGUGGACGCAUCACUGGUGUUCGGGUUGUCAUGCCAAUGGCACUGCCCGGUAGCUAAAUGCGGAAGAGAUAAGUGCUGAAAGCAUCUAAGCACGAAACUUGCCCCGAGAUGAGUUCUCCCUGACUCCUUGA